This 479-nucleotide ribosomal RNA is filed under the name uncultured bacterium. Its description in RNAcentral is "partial 16S ribosomal RNA". It matches the Rfam family "Bacterial small subunit ribosomal RNA", at positions 28 to 507 of the family's 1533-position model. The record is from RNAcentral.
GAUGAACGCUAGCGGGAGGCCUAACACAUGCAAGCCGAGCGGUAAAGUUCCUUCGGGAACUUGAGAGCGGCGUACGGGUGCGUAACACGUGUGCAACCUACCUUUAUCUGGGGGAUAGCCUUUCUAAAGGAAGAUUAAUACCCCAUAAUAUAAUGAUUGGCAUCAAUUAUUAUUUAAAACUCCGGUGGAUAGAGAUGGGCACGCGCAAGAUUAGAUAGUUGGUGAGGUAACGGCUCACCAAGUCAAUGAUCUUUAGGGGUCCUGAGAGGGAGAUCCCCCACACUGGUACUGAGACACGGACCAGACUGCUACGGGAGGCAGCAGUGAGGAAUAUUGGACAAUGGGUGAAAGCCUGAUCCAGCCAUCCCGCGUGAAGGAUGACGGUCCUAUGGAUUGUAAACUUCUUUUGUACAGGGAUAAACCUACGCUCGUGAGGGUAGCUGAAGGUACUGUACGAAUAAGCACCGGCUAACUCCGUG